This 57-nucleotide transfer RNA is filed under the name Camelus ferus (Wild Bactrian camel). It matches the Rfam family "tRNA", at positions 8 to 63 of the family's 71-position model. Rfam says of the family: Transfer RNA (tRNA) molecules are approximately 80 nucleotides in length. Their secondary structure includes four short double-helical elements and three loops (D, anti-codon, and T loops). The record is from Rfam by way of RNAcentral. Lineage: Eukaryota; Metazoa; Chordata; Mammalia; Artiodactyla; Camelidae.
UAGCUCACUGGUAGAGCGCGUGCUUAGCAUGCAUGAGGUCCUGGGUUCAAUCCCCAG